UUUCAAUGGUAUCUUAGGCUACUAUUUCGGCUUCUUACUCCAAGUAUCUGGUUAGGGGUAUCUAACCAGAUA
Molecule: transfer RNA, 72 nt
Filed under: Polystichum jinfoshanense
Lineage: Eukaryota; Viridiplantae; Streptophyta; Polypodiopsida; Polypodiales; Dryopteridaceae
Description: Polystichum sp. YZ-2022a tRNA-Ile
Source: RNAcentral